Cornus florida is the source of this 228-nucleotide long non-coding RNA. RefSeq lists it as uncharacterized. The transcript is spliced from 2 exons. Lineage: Eukaryota; Viridiplantae; Streptophyta; Magnoliopsida; Cornales; Cornaceae. The record is from RefSeq and is a predicted model, not a curated record.
AGAAAAUAGAGGGAAACAGUGAGGAGGCCGAGAAAUAUAUAGAGAGAUUUGAUGCUCAGAUGAUUCAAUGAGGAGUAUUUAUUAUUUUGCAGAGUACCGUGAAUUGCUAGUUGCGGGCUUAGGUGGAAGAGUUGGUGUUGAAGAUUUAUUUAAAUUAUUUUAGAGAUGAUGUAUUUUUAUUUUGAGGAAAUUGAUUUGUAUAAAUAAAGGGUAUUUUAUUACUUUUGA